CCUAUAAAAAUAACAUAAUGCAAAAUAACAUACAAUUCUCAAAUCUGCUUAAUGCAACUAAAGGUUGCGGAGGUCUGUGCCCAUCUCAGUAGCACUGGGUGCAAUUCAGGACUAGUCCUGGGCAGGGUACCAGACUAUCACAGAGAGCACAUUCACACAUACACUCACCAAGCCAAUUAGGAUUUGCCAGUAUCCUAACCAACAUGUCUUUGAGGGACAUGGGAGGAAAACCAAUGCAGACAUGUGGACAGCAUGCACACUACACACAAGCGACAACCCAGGAUUACGGACCUGUUACCAAGCAUCAGAAUCAUCCUACUGAGGGACACAACCCAGAAUGGAAGCAGAAGUCCUCAAGAGAAAUUGUGGUUACCAGAAAAGUUUAUUUUACUGUAUCGAGGAACAAUGUGGGAUUGAGACACUGAAGAACUUCUAAACCUGAAAAUAUUCAAACGAACUGAGGCCUUCUGGGACCUGAGAGUGACCAGCACAGAUACUGGCACAUGCAUGGAUCAUCAUGGCGUUAUAAUGGAAAAGCAUCAUAACCCUUUCAACCCUGACAUCCUAUUACUAGUACUAGUAUAUAUAUAUGCAGUCAUUUUUGUAAUGCACAGGUAUGUUUGCAGCCAUUGGAACCAAAUGUGCUACUAUUAGUGCAGCCUGGACAGACUGGCAUACAGUCCGUGAAACAUGGAAUUGAAGUAUUUGGCAACUAUUGUAUAAUCAUAGUGAUCAUUUUUUUGUUUUUUUCAUUUUUGAGCUUCCUAGACACCCCAAAGGUAGAAUAUCACACAAAAUUAUUUUUCCCAUAAAAACAGAAAAGGCCAAAAGAGUUAAAAAUUUCUAAGCCAUGCAUAGUCACACUACAUAAAAUGUGAUGUUAUGUAGUAUGUCUUAUUUUUGGAAUAAUAUCAUAAAUAUCUUUAAUUAAUCUAAGGAAAACAACACUGAUGCAGCAGAGUCAAAUUGUGUAAUGGUGUCCUGAUACUUCACCUUUGUCAUUAUGAAUGUGACAAUACAUGGAAAGAAAGGAACGUAAAAAUGUACCACAACAGUGAGAUGCGCAUGAAAAAAAUAUCCAUCUCUUCUCCCAUUUUCUGAGCCAGCUGUAUUAACCGAUCUUCAACAUCUCACUAACAUGAGCUACUGGGCUAAAAGGCUCAGUCAUGGUAAUCUGAAAUGAAAGCCUCCCCCCUUCAUACUAGCUAAGCAAGACCCCAAAGCACCCUUUUAUAUUGCACGCUGGUGCUUAGUGAUGGGUUGUUCUU
Long non-coding RNA from Polypterus senegalus (gray bichir), 1268 nucleotides. RefSeq lists it as uncharacterized. Lineage: Eukaryota; Metazoa; Chordata; Cladistia; Polypteriformes; Polypteridae. The record is from RefSeq and is a predicted model, not a curated record. The transcript has 3 exons.